GACGAACGCUGGCGGCGUGCUUAACACAUGCAAGUCGAACGGAAAGGCCCUGCUUUUGUGGGGUGCUCGAGUGGCGAACGGGUGAGUAACACGUGAGUAACCUGCCCUUGACUUUGGGAUAACUUCAGGAAACUGGGGCUAAUACCGGAUAGGAGCUCCUGCUGCAUGGUGGGGGUUGGAAAGUUUCGGCGGUUGGGGAUGGACUCGCGGCUUAUCAGCUUGUUGGUGGGGUAGUGGCUUACCAAGGCUUUGACGGGUAGCCGGCCUGAGAGGGUGACCGGCCACAUUGGGACUGAGAUACGGCCCAGACUCCUACGGGAGGCAGCAGUGGGGAAUAUUGCACAAUGGGCGGAAGCCUGAUGCAGCAACGCCGCGUGCAGGAUGACGGCCUUCGGGUUGUAAACCGCUUUCGCCUGUGACGAAGCGUGAGUGACGGUAAUGGGUAAAGAAGCACCGGCUAACUACGUGCCAGCAGCCGCGGUGAUACGUAGGGUGCGAGCGUUGUCCGGAUUUAUUGGGCGUAAAGGGCUCGUAGGUGGUUGAUCGCGUCGGAAGUGUAAUCUUGGGGCUUAACCCUGAGCGUGCUUUCGAUACGGGUUGACUUGAGGAAGGUAGGGGAGAAUGGAAUUCCUGGUGGAGCGGUGGAAUGCGCGGAUAUCAGGAGGAACACCAGUGGCGAAGGCGGUUCUCUGGGCCUUUCCUGACGCUGAGGAGCGAAAGCGUGGGGAGCGAACAGGCUUAGAUACCCUGGUAGUCCACGCUGUAAACGGUGGGUACUAGGUGUGGGGUCCAUUCCACGGGUUCCGUGCCGUAGCUAACGCUUUAAGUACCCCGCCUGGGGAGUACGGCCGCAAGGCUAAAACUCAAAGGAAUUGACGGGGCCUCGCACAAGCGGCGGAGCAUGCGGAUUAAUUCGAUGCAACGCGUAGAACCUUACCUGGGUUUGACAUGGAUCGGGAGCGCUCAGAGAUGGGUGUGCCUCUUUUGGGGUCGGUUCACAGGUGGUGCAUGGCUGUCGUCAGCUCGUGUCGUGAGAUGUUGGGUUAAGUCCCGCAACGAGCGCAACCCUUGUUCACUGUUGCCAGCACGUUAUGGUGGGGACUCAGUGGAGACCGCCGGGGUCAACUCGGAGGAAGGUGGGGAUGACGUCAAGUCAUCAUGCCCCUUAUGUCCAGGGCUUCACGCAUGCUACAAUGGCUGGUACAGAGAGUGGCGAGCCUGUGAGGGUGAGCGAAUCUCGGAAAGCCGGUCUCAGUUCGGAUUGGGGUCUGCAACUCGACCUCAUGAAGUCGGAGUCGCUAGUAAUCGCAGAUCAGCAACGCUGCGGUGAAUACGUUCCCGGG
This 1343-nucleotide ribosomal RNA is filed under the name uncultured bacterium. RNAcentral describes it as "16S ribosomal RNA". It matches the Rfam family "Bacterial small subunit ribosomal RNA", at positions 28 to 1378 of the family's 1533-position model. The record is from RNAcentral.